Molecule: unclassified non-coding RNA, 882 nt
Filed under: Hevea brasiliensis (rubber tree)
Lineage: Eukaryota; Viridiplantae; Streptophyta; Magnoliopsida; Malpighiales; Euphorbiaceae
Source: RNAcentral
GACAGAUGUAGAAUUUAGACUUUAAAGGCAAACGCAUAUUUACUUCUAGAAAACCAAAGCAAAACUUUAAUUGAUUCUUAUGAAUUUAGCCUAAUGAAAAAAGUAAAAACCAAAUGAGCUAGGAAAGGUAAAACAAUUAGAAGUCAAGAAAAGGAUUGAAGAGAAGGCCUCUGACUCUAAAAUCCAGCAGUUGGAGAGAUAAACUUAUCCCACUUGACUGGUAGACCACUAAAAAAAUGCAGAGGAUCCAUUGCCACAUCCCUCAUAGGCACUUGAUGAACAGUUCACCUCCUCUGUAAUGAAAUUCUGUGCCCAUCUAACAAGAAAUGAAGCUUGCUGCACCAGCUUCACUGACCUCUUUAUUCGGUUCUAUAUAUUAAGAUACAACAGGAGCAUUGUUGAAGCUUUAUUUGAAGAUAGGCCAAUCUCAGCAAGUUAAACUCUGCUCAAAUAUUAACAAUAAGAGGAAUUGACAAACAGUAAUAUUCUAAUAUCUCUGAGUAGAAUGAUUAUUUGAGUCUCUGAAUUUUUUAUUUUUGGCUCCUUGAUUCCAUUUAUUUUCUGCAUGGAAUCUGAAAUAAAGAGCAAGAUUAAUUUAGAUUAACAAAUUUGAUUUCAUUCAUUUUGGUGUGGUUCUUAUUGCUAUCGGUUAUGUUAACACAUGAUUGCAGUUGAGAAGAUGUUAAAAUUCUGAUUUCAGUUGAAUUCUGGCUUCACCCUCAUUUAUAUUCAACUGUCUGUGAAGUUGAAUUCUGAUUUUAGAUUCUGGAGAUCGAUUCUAACAUGUUAAUUCCUGUAAAUUGCAAUCAUGCAUACUAGCUACAGCAUCUUUCUGCUAUAGAAGAUCAUUAUUUUUCAUGAACUUUUCCAAUUAUAACCAAA